GCCACCGCUUAAUAUUGGGGUUUCUUCUUUCUCUGCUUUUUUCAGAUUUCUUUGUAUCUUAAAGUGAUUAAUCUGCUCUGCUCUCCCAUGUGUACAUCCACUUUGUUUCCACAGCUGAGUUGAAGAAAUACCAGUCAUAAUCAAACAACUGUUGCCAAGGGGAUCCUGACCUGAUAGCUGAACAUUAAUUAGAAUUUCGCAACUAUGGAAGAUGAGCCAAUACUUGUGAGUGAUGUGAAAGGAACUAAGAAACAAAAAGGGGAACAAAGUACUUUAUCAAAGCCACACUCAAGUUACAUUUUCAGGCAGAAGCUAAAGCCCAAAGAGUUUCAACGCAUCUUGUGAUAACUUAUGAAGGAGUAAAGAUCAGCUUACUGUCUCGGCCGCAAGGAAAAAACAUUUUGCUUCCUAAGAACACGAAAACUAUUAAGGACCUAAUAUAACUGGUAGAAUUGCAGCACAAGAAGAA
Molecule: non-coding RNA, 469 nt
Organism: Nicotiana tabacum (common tobacco)
Lineage: Eukaryota; Viridiplantae; Streptophyta; Magnoliopsida; Solanales; Solanaceae
Source: RefSeq, a predicted model, not a curated record